Molecule: ribosomal RNA, 305 nt
Filed under: uncultured bacterium
Lineage: Bacteria
Description: bacterial SSU rRNA
Rfam family: Bacterial small subunit ribosomal RNA
Source: RNAcentral
UUGGGCCUACGGGAGGCAGCAGUGAGGAAUAUUGGUCAAUGGGCGAGAGCCUGAACCAGCCAAGUCGCGUGAAGGAUGACGGCCCUACGGGUUGUAAACUUCUUUUGUCAGGGAGCAAUUGGGUCCACGCGUGGGCUUAGCGAGAGUACCUGAAGAAAAAGCAUCGGCUAACUCCGUGCCAGCAGCCGCGGUAAUACGGAGGAUGCGAGCGUUAUCCGGAUUUAUUGGGUUUAAAGGGUGCGUAGGCGGUCCGUUAAGUCAGCGGUAAAAUUGCGGGGCUCAACCCUGUCGAGCCGUUGAAACUG